This 330-nucleotide unclassified non-coding RNA is filed under the name uncultured fungus. RNAcentral describes it as "partial contains 5.8S ribosomal RNA and internal transcribed spacer 2". The stretch from base 1 to 133 matches the Rfam family "5.8S ribosomal RNA", at positions 22 to 154 of the family's 154-position model. The record is from RNAcentral. Lineage: Eukaryota; Fungi.
UGGUUCUGGCAUCGAUGAAGAACGCAGCGAAAUGCGAUAAGUAAUGUGAAUUGCAGAAUUCAGUGAAUCAUCGAAUCUUUGAACGCACAUUGCGCCCUCUGGUAUUCCGGAGGGCAUGUCUGUUCGAGCGUCGCAAGCACAAGAUCAAGCUAAUUGCUUGGAAUUGGGGGCCACCCUCACCGGUGCUCCUGUAAACGAACGGCGGCUCAGUUUUUGGCCCUAGCGCGUUGAAAUCUUUCGCUAGCAGAAGCAAUCAACUGUUCCUCAGCCUUACGCGCAUCAACGUGCGUGCCAUCAAUCGACCUCGGAUCAGACAGGAAUACCCGCUGA